CCUACGGGAGGCAGCAGUAGGGAAUAUUGCUCAAUGGGGGAAACCCUGAAGCAGCAACGCCGCGUGGAGGAUGAAGGUUUUCGGAUUGUAAACUCCUUUUGUAGAGAAGAUAAUUAACGUUUUUAACGGAUAAGCCCCCGCCAACUCCCUGCCAGCAGACGCCGUAAUACGGAGGGUGCAAGCGUUACUCGGAAUCCCUGGGCGUAAAGAGCGCGUAGGCGGGAUAGCAAGUCAGAUGUGAAAUCCUAUGGCUUAACCAUAGAACUGCAUUUGAAACUGUUAUUCUAGAGUAUGGGAGAGGUAGGUGGAAUUCUUGGUGUAGGGGUAAAAUCCGUAGAGAUCAAGAGGAAUACUCAUUGCGAAGGCGACCUGCUAGAACAUAACUGACGCUGAUGCGCGAAAGCGUGGGGAGCAAACAGGAUUAGAUACCCUAGUAGUC
RNAcentral lists this ribosomal RNA (439 nucleotides) under uncultured bacterium. Its description in RNAcentral is "partial 16S ribosomal RNA". It matches the Rfam family "Bacterial small subunit ribosomal RNA", at positions 338 to 795 of the family's 1533-position model. The record is from RNAcentral.